This 983-nucleotide long non-coding RNA is filed under the name Homo sapiens (human). RNAcentral's name for it is "HSALNT0347681". The record is from RNAcentral. Lineage: Eukaryota; Metazoa; Chordata; Mammalia; Primates; Hominidae.
GCCUCCCCCAGUCUCCUAUCCAAUUUGCAGGACCACGUGUGCGGUUCUGCAUCCCACAGUCUCUUCUCGAGUUUCUUAUACAGUUUUUGUUUUUUUCCUCUCAAGUAGUCAGGGAAAAAAAAAUGCCGAGGGGGAAAAAGGCCUGAAAUCGAAUUGCAGAUCCACCAGGCAGAGCUAUAGGUCGCGCCUGCACACAGUACCAGCUCCCAGAGUCUCCCAGGACUUCUAGGAGACUGCCUCAAAAUACACCAGCGUCCUAGGCUUGAGAAACGAGAUAAGCCUUGCUAGAUUUCCGUAGAGUGAAGGUGAAAUCGACGAGAGAAAACCCUUCUACCUGAGAAAUCUGGUCAAGAAUCCUAGUGUUGCAUUCCUCACUUGGUCUCCUAAGCUGACAGUGAAUGAAGAUAAAAGUGGUGACCCUACACCCAGGCAGGACUGUAAAUCCACGCUGUUUGCCUGUGACUGAUUUGGGAUUUGGAUUUCUGAUCUGGCUGAGUGAUGUGUAAAAACCUCAAGUAGUCAACAGCUCCCUAUUGGCUAUGCAUCUGAGGGGCUCAAGAGCAUUGUUUAUUCCAGCAAGUGUCUGGAAUACAUUAUACUGGAUGAAUUGGCUCCUGCUACUCCCGUUUUGGAGAAUAUGAAGAAUUUUAUACUGUGCUAAAAUAAAUGUACUUUGUGCAAAUAACUUUCCUAAAUAAAAAAUUUUGAAUAUGACUCUAUCUUCUGAAUCCACUACUGCCAAUAUUUUAAACAUAUGGCCUUUCUGAAAGAGUAGUGAUGAAAUAAUUCUCCACACCUUCAAAUUCAGAAACUCGUUCAACAUUUAGAUCGGUUUUUAUCCAAGGCCAUAUGAAAGUGGGUUUCCCUAAAAAAAUAAAAUGGUCAGAUAUUUGGGUUGAGAACUGUUCUCUCAAACUUUAAGAAUACUAGGAUAAAGUAUCAAAAUAAUUCUUCUAUUAAUACAUAAAAAUUUUAGGUGAUAU